ACCUCUCAAAAUGAUAUAUGUUAAAUUAGAAGGUAAAAAUGUUGUGCCCUUCUCAGAAAGUGAAGAAAAGUUGUAUGUAAGUGUAGUGAAAACAUAUGCAUGAAUGAUUGUCUUAACCCACUGAUUACAGAUAGUCUUUGAUUUGUACUUGCUAAAAGAGUCCUGAAUUGAGUUCCCCAGCUAGUGAGUCACUGUUUUCAAGGCUGUUUACCACAUUAGAGUCCAUAAACUUGGUCAGCCUGAAAACUCGAUUACAAGAUGUAAGCUAUUCUGCCCUGUGGCUUUAAGCACAUGGUUAAAAUAUAUUUAAGUCUCUGCUUCUAGAAAUGCUUUCAGAUUUUCUUUUUAAACUUCAUGUUACUUAUUUCAGCUUGCCAUCUUAAUGAUUAAUGCAGUAAAUUGCUAAGUUAUGACCCUGCUAUCACCAGGAUUCAUUUAAGUAAAAGGCAAUUCAAAGCUGUAUUGCACUCCCCCAUACCUAAUGUUUUAAUGCUGUUUACUGAUGGGUCGAGUAAACAUGGACAAGUGGCAGUUUGGUAGAGACCACAUAAUCCAGUCACUCAAUCUAAGUUUACUAGCACUGAGAGCUGAGAUUACUCUGUAUGUUUAUUAAAGCACUUUUACAGCCUCAAUUAAGUUCACUCUGGAGCCCACUCUGUGUGCUCUUUUUCUCCAGCCUCAGCAAUUGCUAGACCAAUGUACACAUCUUAUUUUUAUUACACACAUUGGACCCCACAGCUCACUGCCUGGCCCAUCGGCUUAUAGCAAUGAUGAUCAAGCAGACCUUCAAGUUAUGACAUUACUACUUGACUAAGCCACUCAAUCGCAUCUGUUUUUCCACCAAAAUUGGAAAAACUUAUCUAAACAACUUCAACUUACCCAGAGGCUGGCUAAACAAAUUAUCUACAAUACCCAGAUUGCCAGCUCACAGGCACAUCCCCUCCUUCAACAAGUGUUAACCCUACAGGAUUGGAACCCAAUCAGUUAUGGCAAACAGAUAUUACACACAUUCUUGAAUUUGGAAAACUAAGAUAUGUGCAUGUAUCCAUUGAUAUGAGUGUACCAACACUCAUUUAAUUAAUGCACAUG
RNAcentral lists this long non-coding RNA (1089 nucleotides) under Pongo abelii (Sumatran orangutan). RNAcentral's name for it is "lincRNA". The record is from RNAcentral. Lineage: Eukaryota; Metazoa; Chordata; Mammalia; Primates; Hominidae.